Molecule: ribosomal RNA, 393 nt
Filed under: uncultured bacterium
Lineage: Bacteria
Description: bacterial SSU rRNA
Rfam family: Bacterial small subunit ribosomal RNA
Source: RNAcentral
GAUGAACGCUGGCGGCGUGCUUAACACAUGCAAGUCGAACGAAGAUGCCGGAGUGCUUGCACUUUGGCAGACUGAGUGGCGGACGGGUGAGUAACGCGUGGGUAACCUGCCUUAUACAGGGGGAUAACAGUUGGAAACGACUGCUAAUACCGCAUAAGCGCACGGUAUCGCAUGAUACAGUGUGAAAAACUCCGGUGGUAUAAGAUGGACCCGCGUCUGAUUAGCUUGUUGGUGAGGUAACGGCCCACCAAGGCGACGAUCAGUAGCCGGCCUGAGAGGGUGAACGGCCACAUUGGGACUGAGACACGGCCCAAACUCCUACGGGAGGCAGCAGUGGGGAAUAUUGGCACAAUGGGGGAAACCCUGAUGCAGCGACGCGCGUGAGUGAUGAAG